This 445-nucleotide ribosomal RNA is filed under the name uncultured bacterium. RNAcentral describes it as "partial 16S ribosomal RNA". It matches the Rfam family "Bacterial small subunit ribosomal RNA", at positions 338 to 795 of the family's 1533-position model. The record is from RNAcentral.
CCUACGGGUGGCUGCAGUGGGGAAUAUUGCACAAUGGGCGCAAGCCUGAUGCAGCAACGCCGCGUGCGGGAUGACGGCCUUCGGGUUGUAAACCGCUUUCAGCAGGGACGAAGCGCAAGUGACGGUACCUGCAGAAGAAGCACCGGCUAACUACGUGCCAGCAGCCGCGGUGAUACGUAGGGUGCGAGCGUUGUCCGGAUUUAUUGGGCGUAAAGCGCUUGUAGGCGGUUAGUAGCGUCGUAAGUGCCAACGCAGGGCUGAACCUGGGGCCUGCAGUCGAUACGGGCUGACUAGAGGAAGGUAGGGGAGAAUGGAAUUCCCGGUGGAGCGGUGGAAUGCGCAGAUAUCGGGAGGAACACCAGUGGCGAAGGCGGUUCUCUGGACCUUUCCUGACGCUGAGAAGCGAAAGCGUGGGGAGCAAACAGGAUUAGAUACCCUAGUAGUC